UACUGUUUAGUAUGGAAGUAUGCGAUUUCGGACGCAGCCUAAUUAACAAACAAACGAGAGAUCCUGCAGGACGAGUGGCGCUGAGGUCUGAACAGCGGGAAUCAGCAGCAGCAGCAGCGGCAGGACAGUCUGAGCAGAUGAAGAAUUACGGGAAGGACGAGACUGAAGCUAAGUUAAUUAAAAAUCAGUCGAGUUAAAGCAGUUGAAUCACUGGAGCAAUAAUUGAUUGUGUUAGCUGUAUCGAAUGAUAUCAGAAAAUAGGAAUUCUCCUAAAUGGGAGAGGACAGGAUAUCGAGAGAGAGGACGCGAGAGGCGCUAGGUGCUGCAGGAAGCAAUUACCAUCGAUAAUUUUUUUCUAAUAAACUUGUAUCCUUCAGAUGAUAACCAAUUAAACAUGCGUAAUUACGGCUCCCGUAUAGUUAUUCAUAAGACGAUUAGCAUGUCUGCCUUACUUCUAGAUUAGCCGCAUACUGAUGAGGCGCAGGUUAAGCGGCGGAUCUGGUGAUACACAUGCAAAUUUCAUGCAAAUGUGCGUGCAAAAAUAGCAGGGAGGCGACGUCAUUAAUGGCGUUGCUAAUAGGUCAUUUGCAUGCUGUUUACUCUGAUUGUACUGACGACAGGAGUCACCGGAACCGGCCGGUUCUACAGAGGCCUGGCGAGGAGCGGCGGGUCCACUGGCGGGUCCACUGGCGGGUCCACUGGCGGGUCCACUGGCAGGUCCACUGGCGGGUCCUCUGGCAGGUCCACUGGCAGGUCCAACGAAGAGCCAGAACUCAUCAUUUACAUCAUAGGGUUGUGAGUGUUGGGUGAGUUCUCUCAGCCGCCUAAUGCACAGCAAGACCUUCGGCUGGAGACGGGGGGCUUCAGCAUUGUCAUGACAACACCACUACACAAACGGAAUACGAUGCGAGUGUAUGUGCGCGAGAGUGUGUGCGAGUGUGUGUGAGAGUAAGAGUACCCACCUUUAGCCAUUUUAUUCAACACCAUGUCUAUCAGGAUGUAGGUCCCACUCCUGCCUGACCCGUCACUGCAGAGAAAGAGAGCAAAGAAAGAGUCAGAAACAUUAAAAAGAGAAAAAGAAGAGAGGGAAAUUAAGAAAAAUACAGAGAAAGUGAGAGAGAGAGGGAGAGAGAAAGAGAGAACAGCGUUUGAAUGAGAAUAAACUGUUCAUUUGUUGGAGCUGUUGCA
RNAcentral lists this long non-coding RNA (1188 nucleotides) under Astyanax mexicanus (Mexican tetra). RNAcentral describes it as "lncRNA (ENSAMXG00005006335.1)". Lineage: Eukaryota; Metazoa; Chordata; Actinopteri; Characiformes; Acestrorhamphidae. The record is from RNAcentral.